GGUUGAAAAUUAAUAUUUAUAUAUUAUAUAAACAUAUCUUAUUAAAUUUAAUUAUAAAUAUUAUUU
Molecule: transfer RNA, 66 nt
Filed under: Anindobothrium anacolum
Lineage: Eukaryota; Metazoa; Platyhelminthes; Cestoda; Phyllobothriidea; Phyllobothriidae
Description: tRNA-Ser
Source: RNAcentral